Molecule: transfer RNA, 73 nt
Filed under: Patescibacteria group bacterium
Lineage: Bacteria
Description: tRNA-Ile
Rfam family: tRNA
About the family: Transfer RNA (tRNA) molecules are approximately 80 nucleotides in length. Their secondary structure includes four short double-helical elements and three loops (D, anti-codon, and T loops).
Source: RNAcentral
GUGCCCAUAGCUCAAUCGGUAGAGCGGUUGCCUUAUACGCAACUGGUUCCAGGUUCAAGUCCUGGUGGGCACA